Molecule: ribosomal RNA, 497 nt
Filed under: uncultured bacterium
Lineage: Bacteria
Description: partial 16S ribosomal RNA
Rfam family: Bacterial small subunit ribosomal RNA
Source: RNAcentral
GAUGAACGCUGGCGGCGUGCCUAAUACAUGCAAGUCGAGCGAACAGACGAGGAGCUUGCUCCUCUGACGUUAGCGGCGGACGGGUGAGUAACACGUGGAUAACCUACCUAUAAGACUGGGAUAACUUCGGGAAACCGGAGCUAAUACCGGAUAAUACAUUGAACCGCAUGGUUCAAUAGUGAAAGACGGUUUUGCUGUCACUUAUAGAUGGAUCCGCGCCGCACUAGCUAGUUGGUAAGGUAACGGCUUACCAAGGCAACGAUGCGUAGCCGACCUGAGAGGGUGAUCGGCCACACUGGAACUGAGACACGGUCCAGACUCCUACGGGAGGCAGCAGUAGGGAAUCUUCCGCAAAGGGCGAAAGCCUGACGGAGCAACGCCGCGUGAGUGAUGAAGGUCUUCGGAUCGUAAAACUCUGUUAUUAGGGAAGAACAAAUGUGUAAGUAACUAUGCACGUCUUGACGGUACCUAAUCAGAAAGCCACGGCUAACUACGUG